AACCGCCAUGUUGGAUGUUGAUUCGACGAUCAUUGUCCCGAUAGUCGUUUCAGCGAACGGUCUCAUAGCGAAGAGUCUAGACCAAUAACACCUUGAGAGACUCUCGCUAGGUGGUUGGAUCAAGGGUCAGAUGCAGAAGGCGGUGAUCUUGGACACGGCGCGGAUAGUCCGCCGGUUCCUCUCUCUGUGGCCCUGACCACCGGCAGCUUGGGCCCUACCCCGCUGCCGGCGGCACCCUAGGUUAGGUUUUUUAUAAUGUGUUCAUAUCUUUUGUAUUGUUUUGUAAGUGUUUUUAUAUUUUACUUUUAUAAACAUAUUGUAAAAAUCCUAACCUAAAAAGGAAAAUAAAUAAAG
Long non-coding RNA from Cydia strobilella, 354 nucleotides. RefSeq lists it as uncharacterized. The transcript is spliced from 2 exons. The record is from RefSeq and is a predicted model, not a curated record. Lineage: Eukaryota; Metazoa; Arthropoda; Insecta; Lepidoptera; Tortricidae.